AUUCUCCUUCUCAAGUACAUGGUUCUUUCUAUUACAGCAGUGUAGGCCCCACUCGAGAGCACAGAAUAUAACCUAGCUGUGUUGGAUUUAUUCUUUCUAUGAUAGAUUGGAAAAAAUGGCAUGCUAUUUUGCUGCUCAUCCCUUCAAAAGGUAGAGUAUGUUUCCUCAAGUCUUGGAUCUUGGAUGGUCUUUAACUUGCUUACUGAUGAAAAGUAGCAGAAGUAAUUUUCUAUGAGUUCCAGCACCUAGGCCUCAAGAAAACUUUCAUUUUCUAUUCUCACACUCUUGUAACACUGGUAUGUAAGAAGCAUGGUCUACUGCAUGAUGAGAGGUCACCCAGAGAUCUCCUCAAUCCUCCCAAAUCAUCCUCACCAGGGCCCCAGACAUGGGAUUGAGGCCACCUUAGAUCCUUCACCCCAGCUGAGCCACCUGAUCACUUCAGACACAUAAAAAUGCCAGGUAAGAUCAGGAAAACAGCCCAGCAGAGCAGCUCAAUCAUCUGACUCACAGAGUCAUUAACAAGUAAGACGUUAAGUUUCUUGAUUAGUUAGACAGUAAUAGAUAAAUGAAAAACUUCCACAGCAAGAGAAAAGUGAUGGAGGUAGAAAAUUUAGAAACUACUGGAAAUAUGGCCUGAAAGAAAAAUAGGAAAACAUAGGUUAUUUUUCCUACUCCAGCACUCAUUCAUUCUGAAGUCUUUUUAUUAAGUCAGGAAAAUCAUUCUCACUAUAGAGCUGCAAUCAUAAUGAAACUAUAAAUGGAAAAGCAAAAUAUAGCCAACUGUUGGAGUUUAUUUAUUUUAUAUCUAUAUACUUACGUAUACAUGUAAACUUAUAUAUAUACACAUCACAAACUUAAGUAUUUUCUUAAGUAAAUAGAAGUAAAACUGCUUCCUUUCCUUCCUCAAUCCUCCGAAAUAAUCUUUUAUAAUGAUAUUACAUAUGCAUAUAUAUGUAUAAAUAAUGAUAGCUCAACAUUAUUUUAUAUGCUCUGCUACUUUAUUUUUGUGUUUUUUCAUGAAGAAAGAGUGCCCCAUUAACAUGAGUAAUCAGUGUACUGCAUGGUACAGGAGCUACUAUAAAUGGCAAUAGCUUCACUGCCUAUUGUGUAUUUAAUUUCUCCAAACACACAAAAACACACUCUCUCUUUCUCUCUCAACCCUCCAUUUCAAUAGACUUGUAAGGGGUGGGUCCAGAGGGGAGAGGAAACUGCUCAGAAUAUGUUACUCCAGGGACAUGCCAACCUCUGUUUUCUCACAAUGCCCCAUCUCCUUCAUAUCCAUCUACUAAUGGCCAGAAGUUAUUCUUAAAGAUCAGAACCCUUUGCACGGAGUGAAUAUUUUUCUCCCACCUCACCUCAGCACACUCAUUGGCAUAUUGGUUCACUUCAACAACUCUCCCUUCUUUAGCUACCAGCUCCACUUGGAAGUCUUCAAAUUUCUUAUGCAGAACUUCGGUGCGCUCCCAGUCUUCACCUAGCUCCACUGAUGUCGCUAUAGCCUCCUGUAGACACAUAAGUUUAUUGAGUUGCCAGCAAACAUUUAGGAGUUUCUGUAGGUCAAAAACUCAAAACUCCUGCUUGCAUUCCCAGGAUAACUCAAAUGGAGAUACUGGGGGAGACUGGGAGAAGCUCUCCUGGGAAAGGCCAGCAGCAGAAGUAUAUUUGUUAAGGUAGCACCUUGGCACAAAGGAAAGUGCUCUUUCAGGCAGUUCUUUAUCAAGUUUGUGGCAUUACUGGCAAGAGAUCCUGAAAGUACCCUUUUGUGUUUUGAAACAUGAGGGAUAAAUUCAUCCUGUUUCUACUCAAUUCAACAUACUCAGUAUCUAUGAAAGUAUUUUGUUAGGCAUUUGCUUAUCUAAAUCUUUAGUCCUAUUAAAUUGUUCCUUAAGUAUUUAGAAAAAUAAAACCCUCCAUCUUUAUAGGCACUGAGACACAAAGGAUUAGAGAAAGAGCUGUCAAUACUCUCAGCCAGACCCCAGAGUAAGAGCAAAAACAUAGGAGAAGGAGUUAAAAAUCAUGGAAGUGGAAGAGGGAUGAGCCUAAUUAUCUUUCAAUGCAUGGUCUUUGUGUGUUUCCUGUCCAACAUCAAUUGCUUCUGAUUAUGACAACACCACAUGCUAUAAUUUUAGGUGAACAGAAAGGGAUCAUCUGCAUCUCGCUUGAAAACUUGUAAGUGAUAGGAAUCCUCAAGCUUCUGACCCCUCUCAGCGACCCGCUCCUUGAAACUUUGAUACCGAGUCAACACUUCCUGACGCCUCUCCUGGAUCUCUUCUGCUGUUUCCAAAACCUUUGGCCCACUGCUCUCCACAACCUGCAAGUUAAAAAGAUUCUGUUAAUUGCUAGUUCUCAAAUAUUUAACGUGUUGCCCCGCUUAUAUGUGUCAAGGUGUUUACUCAUGUUGGACCUAUAUUCAGAUAUCCUGAAGUCUGUAGGGACUAUUGUCAGAAGAGCUGUAGUAUAUUUACGUAAUUUUUAACCAGACAUAGCUACUGUUUAGGUUAAAGAUUCUUGAUUAUCCAGAAGAGUCUCCUCACUUUUUACAUAAAUUUGUGCUAGCAUUUAAGUUCUAUAGAUAGAAUUAUAUUGAACUGAUCAUGGAGCAAGUUUAAAUUAGCAAAAUCACAUAAUUUCAGAUAGAUAAAAAGAAAUAUAAUGUUAUUGCUUUCAAGGGCUAAAAAGGUGUUGAGAAGUGCUUAUUAUUUUUAACUUUAUUUAAUAAAUAAUUAAGAAUGGCUUGCAAUUAGUUUAGUUAAUGAUAUAUGCAACAGUUUGAAAAUUUUGUUUUCUUCAUACUUAAAAAUAAAUCUCAUAUAUUUACUCUUUACUUGCUAUACUCACAAACACUAUAAAUCAAAAGUUCAGCUAUCUUCUGCCCAAUUAUCACAAAUUUCAAAUUAUUAGCAUGUCUGCAAUUGAUUUUUGAAAUAUAAAACCUUUUACUCUAAAACAAUAUAUAAGUAUCCUUUUCCCAGAGAGGGAGCCAACCUGUUUGUGACAAUAUCCAGCAAAAUCACCGUAGGGUUCACCUUCAUUCAUUUGGAUAUGGAUACCAUUUUCCCUAGCUUACCUCAGCCAAAAUGUUUAAUAUAGAGUUUAAAUUUUAAUCUCCCAUUAUUCCUCCUAAGUAUAAUUGCUACUCUGUGAAUUGCCAUUACUGGCAUGGCUAUAGAAUUAGAUCAUUCCGUGGAGACUCACGUUGUUACUAGGUGUUAUUUUGCUUCAAGCUCCCUACUUAUUCUCUCUGGGAACCGACUUAAGCCAUUACUGGGUCUUGGUGCUGCACAGACAUAAGCUCAAGGUUAUUGUUCACAAAAAAUAGUUAAAAUUAAAAUUAUCUACUUGUUAAAAGCCAAAAUAAUUUUUAAUAUUCCUGGGAAAGAUAGUAUAGAAAGUUUAAAGGAAACAUCUUUCCUAAUAAUAUUAGUGACAAAUUGCAUGGAAGAGAAAUAUGUACUCACGGUUUCCUUUGGAAAUUGCUCCAUUUUUCCUAAAGGUUUAGAACCUGGCAAGAUAAAAUGUGUCAGAGAGAGAGAGAGAGAGAGA
Molecule: long non-coding RNA, 3543 nt
Organism: Pan troglodytes (chimpanzee)
Lineage: Eukaryota; Metazoa; Chordata; Mammalia; Primates; Hominidae
Exons: 3
Source: RefSeq, a predicted model, not a curated record